CCUACGGGAGGCAGCAGUGAGGAAUAUUGGUCAAUGGACGAGAGUCUGAACCAGCCAAGUAGCGUGAAGGAUGACUGCCCUAUGGGUUGUAAACUUCUUUUAUAUGGGAAUAAAAUGUUCCACGUGUGGGAUUUUGUAUGUACCAUAUGAAUAAGGAUCGGCUAACUCCGUGCCAGCAGCCGCGGUAAUACGGAGGAUCCGAGCGUUAUCCGGAUUUAUUGGGUUUAAAGGGAGCGUAGGUGGAUUGUUAAGUCAGUUGUGAAAGUUUGCGGCUCAACCGUAAAAUUGCAGUUGAAACUGGGAGUCUUGAGUACAGUGGAGGUGGGCGGAAUUCGUGGUGUAGCGGUGAAAUGCUUAGAUAUCACGAAGAACUCCGAUUGCGAAGGCAGCUCACUGGACUGCAACUGACACUGAGGCUCGAAAGUGUGGGUAUCAAACAGGAUUAGAUACCCCAGUAGUC
This 460-nucleotide ribosomal RNA is filed under the name uncultured bacterium. RNAcentral's name for it is "partial 16S ribosomal RNA". It matches the Rfam family "Bacterial small subunit ribosomal RNA", at positions 338 to 795 of the family's 1533-position model. The record is from RNAcentral.